Molecule: ribosomal RNA, 484 nt
Filed under: uncultured bacterium
Lineage: Bacteria
Description: bacterial SSU rRNA
Rfam family: Bacterial small subunit ribosomal RNA
Source: RNAcentral
AAUCAACGCUGGCGGCGUGCCUCAGACAUGCAAGUCGAACGAUUAAAGCUCUCUUCGGAGAGUGUAUAGAGUGGCGCACGGGUGAGUAACACGUAAGUAAUCUACCUUUGAGUGGGGAAUAACAAUCGGAAACGAUUGCUAAUACCGCAUAAUGCAGCGGCAUCGCAAGAUGACAGUUGUUAAAGGAGCAAUCCGCUUAAAGAGGAGCUUGCGGCAGAUUAGCUAGUUGGUAAGGUAAUGGCUUACCAAGGCUACGAUCUGUAACCGGUCUAAGAGGACGGUCGGUCACACUGACACUGAAUAACGGGUCAGACUCCUACGGGAGGCAGCAGUCGGGAAUUUUGGGCAAUGGGCGAAAGCCUGACCCAGCAACGCCGCGUGAAGGAUGAAGCAUUUCGGUAUGUAAAACUUCGAAAGAAUAGAAGAAUCAAUGACGGUACUAUUUAUAAGGUCCGGCUAACUACGUGCCAGCCGCCGCCGUAAG